RNAcentral lists this ribosomal RNA (496 nucleotides) under uncultured bacterium. Its description in RNAcentral is "bacterial SSU rRNA". It matches the Rfam family "Bacterial small subunit ribosomal RNA", at positions 903 to 1397 of the family's 1533-position model. The record is from RNAcentral.
AAAGGAAUAGACGGGGGCCCGCACAAGCAGUGGAGCAUGUGGUUUAAUUCGAAGCAACGCGAAGAACCUUACCGGGGAUUGACAUCUUGUCGAACUUGGUAGAGAUACCGAGGUGCCUUCGGGAACGUCAAGACAGGUGGUGCAUGGUUGUCGUCAGCUCGUGUCGUGAGAUGUUGGGUUAAGUCCCGCAACGAGCGCAACCCCUAUGUUUAGUUGCUAACACGUAACGGUGAGCACUCUAAUCAGACUGCCGCAGAGAAUGCGGAGGAAGGUGGGGACGACGUCAAAUCCUCAUGCCCUUUAUACCCCGGGCUACACACGUGCUACAAUGGCCUGUACAGCGGGAAGCGAAGGAGCGAUCCGGAGCGAAUCUCUGAAAGCAGGUCUCAGUUCGGAUUGCAGGCUGCAACUCGCCUGCAUGAAGUCGGAAUUGCUAGUAAUCACGGAUCAUAACGUCGUGGUGAAUGCGUUCCCGGGCCUUGUACACACCGCCCGU